AAAAGAAAAGCAUGUUAAUAUUUAAUAAUUAAUGAUUAAAGUAUGACGUACCAUUUACUUUCCCAACACCGCAUCAUAAGAACUCACAAAAAUCAGUACUUGAUCUUUUCAUAUCCUUACUCCAAAAGCUUAUCAUAGAACAGGAGUGAAGAAGAAACAAUUGAUUCAGGAAGUUACUGGUGCAAAAAAAAAAAUGCCAGGAUUUAAAAAAUAUGCAAUCAUUUAUGUUCAUUAGUAUAGCCAUAAAAAUUUCACAGACAAACAAAGGUUACAUCAGUUCUCAUGUGGAUGGACAUGUCAACAGCAAUUAGGUGAAGAAGAGCUCCUAUCCCACUGCUGCCCCUCCAUUCCAUCCUUCCCCCAGUAGGUCAGCUUUCACUCCAGGAAGAAGCUGGAUGAUCAUUGAGGAAGAUUCUGUUUCCUCUCAAAGAUGCAACCGUAAUGCAGUCUCAGGCAGGGUAAUAGAGUAGCUGAAAUAAUCAUAAUUUUAGAACUUCUCCUAGAGUGGAUCACAUCUUCAUGCAGAGUUGGUAUAGCGCACACUUCCAUUUCUCAUUGCAAACAUUUUUCUGACUACUUCAGUAGCUUUCUUGAGAACAUAAUAUUGGGAAAAGAGAAAAUGAGCUUUUCAGUUUUUGCAAGUUUGAUUUAGCAGUGAAAAAUAACGAGGAGAACCCAGCAGCAGUGUCAGAUUGCAAUAUUCUCUGACCAGGUUCUUUUCCAUAUUCUGCACAAAGAGGGUUUAAUGUUUAAUACAACAUUUACAUAUCUGAAGAGAUUUGUUGUUACACAGGAUUUUGAUUUAACAGUGAUACAGCAAUGUGCUGAAAUCAGAAUACAAGCACAAUAUAGCAAUUGCAACACACAAUUGGAUCACAGUACAGAUGUGAUGCCAUUUCCAAUCUCUCUGUGCUCACUUUCAUGAUGUUGGGCAUCCCCAGUCACUGGAAAGGAAUACAAGGGUUGAGGCCAGUUCAAACACAUUGCUCUCUUUGAAGUUAAUUUUAUCGAUAAUUCAGUUUUUAUACUCUGUGCUGACCCAUGUAUACACUUUCCCCAUGCUGGUCUCACUAACUCAGGAAGACAUUUACACUCUUUUAAUUAACUCCAGGAAAACUCAGUGUAUCAGCUGAUCCACUCAACUGAUCCAGCCCUUUAUCACAAACAGAGGUCGUGGUCCAGUUGCCUUUGUGUUGAGAUGAGUUCAGCUGUGUAUACGAUAGACGUGGUCACUCCCUAAAUUCUUCCCUGAGCUUCAUGAGCACAUCAUCUGCCUGCUGAGCCUUCUUCCAUUGUAGGGUUAGUCCCAGGCAUAUGAUGCUGAAGAGCUUGUCAGAGAUUAUCAGCAAUUGCUCCAUAGACUACAGCUAGCAAAUACUUGAAAUACCAUAAUUGCUCUAGUGCCAUGAAACCAAUUCCAAACAGAAGGGUCAGGCUUCACUUGAAAGCAAUUUGUAAGUUAUUCUGGGGGUGAUGGGCAGAGAGAAGCAGCGUAGAAAGCAACGACCCUCUUUGUCCAGAGCAUAAGCUUUUUUUUUUUCUAAAUGAAGUAGAGAAUCCUUUUCCUUUCCACUCCCCGCUUUGUUUUUCCACUUUUACCCAGUAAAAGCAUUUAACAUAAUCAUGACUCAGGAAAAAUAUGCCUGAACUUCAUACGUGUAGUAUUCCCCAUUUCCUGCAGCUAGCAGGCGAUAUCAGGUUUGUAGUUGUGGCUCAACAAUGCCCAGUUGCCAACAGUGCAUUUGGCUUCAGAGAGCAGAAAUGGAGUGCCUAGGCUCACUGUGCUGCUUGACCUGUUUUUAGAAAGUUUGAUUUACGCAUCGCAGUCUCCUUAUGCAUCACACCAAGAGCAGAAUCUUACUUGUGUGUGGUUGUACUUAGCAGCUUGCCCAGAGGAAACCCUUUAAAAAGAGGAAUGGUACUUAACCCAUGCUUUCCUAUUUGCUAAGGUUGUGACUGUUAGAAAAUUUGGAUUUUUAGAUAUAAAGCCAGAAUAAAAUAAAAAAAUAUUUUGGUUUGGAUCAAAAUGAAUUAAAAGUUUCCUUUUUCUUGCCAAAUAAAGCCAAUAACAGAAGGUGGAUGGAACACCUGAAGGUUUCCCAUGCAAUCUAAAAAACCCUACCUUAUUGUUUUUGAAAGGCAUUUGUAAGGAAGGUAAAAGAGGAGAAGGUUUAACUUUAGCAAGCUGUUGGACAAUAGCUGUAAUUUUGUUCUGUAAUUCAGUGAAUUUGAGACUUUUUGCCCAGGGUUCAAGAAAUCCACCUCCAUCUUAUUCCCUGCCUGCAGCAGCAGUUUGAAUUCACAUCUCUUACCUCCCAGAAAAGGAUUUUAACCACUCAGCCAUGGGGUAUAUGCUGAUUGCUUCCCUUCUAUUGCCGUCUUUUGGUCAUGCUUAGCCUUUUCAGCCAAAAAUGGGUAAGAAUAACACCUUAGGCUACUGGCAGGAGUCUUAAGGUGGUGCGGCCACAGGUAGUAUGAGGAAACUCUGGGCUGCUAGUUCUGUUCUAGCUGAAGGACUAUGCAAGGAGUGAGAUACUGGGCUUCUAGUUCCUGGUCAGCUGCACCUCUAACCAUGUGCAUAAAGCAGAACUGUAACCACAGGACAGUAAAAGUUUGUGCACACCUGUUUACACAGAUGAAUAAUCCAGAGGUGUGGUUUUAAAGUCAAAAUCAAAAGGAUUUGAAUCUAGCUCUCCCAGAUGAAGAAUAAGAUGGUCCAAAAGGACAUUCAACUAUUUUGUUGCUUUAGAACUAGAAAUACUGAUCUGAUUCACCUUCAACUCUUAACUUUUUUCAGGAAACUAUCUUUCUUAGUAAAUCAUUAAAAAAAGUGUAGUUUCCUGCAGCUCUAUGUCUGGCAUUGUGCUGAUAUACAAAAUCACAUUAUACAAUGCAUCA
Molecule: long non-coding RNA, 2898 nt
Filed under: Strigops habroptila (Kakapo)
Lineage: Eukaryota; Metazoa; Chordata; Aves; Psittaciformes; Psittacidae
Description: lncRNA (ENSSHBG00005019182.1)
Source: RNAcentral